AUACGGAGGAUGCGAGCGUUAUCCGGAUUUAUUGGGUUUAAAGGGAGCGUAGGUGGGAUAUUAAGUCAGCUGUGAAAGUUUGGGGCUCAACCUUAAAAUUGCAGUUGAUACUGGUUUCCUUGAGUACGGUACAGGUGGGCGGAAUUCGUGGUGUAGCGGUGAAAUGCUUAGAUAUCACGAAGAACUCCGAUCGCGAAGGCAGCUCACCGGGCCGGAACUGACACUGAUGCUCGAAAGUGCGGGUAUCAAACAGGAUUAGAUACCCUGGUAGUCCACGCAGUAAACGAUGAUUACUAGCUGUUUGCGAUAUACAGUAAGUGGCACAGCGAAAGCGUUAAGUAAUCCACCUGGGGAGUACGCCGGCAACGGUGAAACUCAAAUGAAUUGGCGGGG
This 393-nucleotide ribosomal RNA is filed under the name uncultured bacterium. Its description in RNAcentral is "partial 16S ribosomal RNA". It matches the Rfam family "Bacterial small subunit ribosomal RNA", at positions 523 to 918 of the family's 1533-position model. The record is from RNAcentral.